This 543-nucleotide ribosomal RNA is filed under the name uncultured bacterium. RNAcentral's name for it is "partial 16S ribosomal RNA". It matches the Rfam family "Bacterial small subunit ribosomal RNA", at positions 355 to 889 of the family's 1533-position model. The record is from RNAcentral.
UAGGGAAUCUUCCACAAUGGACGCAAGUCUGAUGGAGCAACGCCGCGUGAGUGAAGAAGGUCUUCGGAUCGUAAAGCUCUGUUGUUGGUGAAGAAGGAUAGAGGCAGUAACUGGUCUUUAUUUGACGGUAAUCAACCAGAAAGUCACGGCUAACUACGUGCCAGCAGCCGCGGUAAUACGUAGGUGGCAAGCGUUGUCCGGAUUUAUUGGGCGUAAAGCGAGCGCAGGCGGAAUGAUAAGUCUGAUGUGAAAGCCCACGGCUCAACCGUGGAACUGCAUCGGAAACUGUCAUUCUUGAGUGCAGAAGAGGAGAGUGGAACUCCAUGUGUAGCGGUGGAAUGCGUAGAUAUAUGGAAGAACACCAGUGGCGAAGGCGGCUCUCUGGUCUGCAACUGACGCUGAGGCUCGAAAGCAUGGGUAGCGAACAGGAUUAGAUACCCUGGUAGUCCAUGCCGUAAACGAUGAGCGCUAGGUGUUGGGGACUUUCCGGUCCUCAGUGCCGCAGCAAACGCAUUAAGCGCUCCGCCUGGGGAGUACGACCGC